UAAAAACAAGGUCCAGGCACAUGCCA
This 26-nucleotide non-coding RNA is filed under the name Homo sapiens (human). Lineage: Eukaryota; Metazoa; Chordata; Mammalia; Primates; Hominidae. The record is from RNAcentral.